RNAcentral lists this ribosomal RNA (433 nucleotides) under uncultured bacterium. RNAcentral describes it as "partial 16S ribosomal RNA". It matches the Rfam family "Bacterial small subunit ribosomal RNA", at positions 29 to 507 of the family's 1533-position model. The record is from RNAcentral.
AGCGAACGCUGGCGGCAGGCCUAACACAUGCAAGUCGAACGAACUCUUCGGAGUUAGUGGCGGACGGGGGAUUAACACGUGGGAACGUGCCUUUUGGUUCGGAAUAACUCAGGGAAACUUGUGCUAAUACCGAAUGUGCCCUUCGGGGGAAAGAUUUAUCGCCAUUAGAGCGGCCCGCGUCUGAUUAGCUAGUUGGUGAGGUAACGGCUCACCAAGGCGACGAUCAGUAGCUGGUCUGAGAGGAUGACCAGCCACACUGGGACUGAGACACGGCCCAGACUCCUACGGGAGGCAGCAGUGGGGAAUCUUGCGCAAUGGGCGAAAGCCUGACGCAGCCAUGCCGCGUGAAUGAUGAAGGUCUUAGGAUUGUAAAAUUCUUUCACCGGGGACGAUAAUGACGGUACCCGGAGAAGAAGCCCCGGCUAACUUCGUG